UGGUUCCGUGGUGUAGGGGUUAACAUGCCUGCCUGUCACGCAGGAGAUCGCGGGUUCGAUUCCCGUCGGAACCGUCGU
This 78-nucleotide transfer RNA is filed under the name Enterococcus faecium PC4.1. RNAcentral describes it as "tRNA-Asp". It matches the Rfam family "tRNA". From Rfam's summary of the family: Transfer RNA (tRNA) molecules are approximately 80 nucleotides in length. Lineage: Bacteria; Bacillati; Bacillota; Bacilli; Lactobacillales; Enterococcaceae. The record is from RNAcentral.